UACGAAAGGGGGCUAGCGUUGCUCGGAAUCACUGGGCGUAAAGGGUGCGUAGGCGGGUCUUUAAGUCAGGGGUGAAAUCCUGGAGCUCAACUCCAGAACUGCCUUUGAUACUGAGGAUCUUGAGUUCGGGAGAGGUGAGUGGAACUGCGAGUGUAGAGGUGAAAAUUCAUAGAUAUUCGCAAGAACACCAGUGGCGAAGGCGGCUCACUGGCCCGAUACUGACGCUGAGGCACGGAAAGCGUGGGGAGCAAACAGG
Molecule: ribosomal RNA, 256 nt
Filed under: uncultured bacterium
Lineage: Bacteria
Description: partial 16S ribosomal RNA
Rfam family: Bacterial small subunit ribosomal RNA
Source: RNAcentral